This 1909-nucleotide long non-coding RNA is filed under the name Cinara cedri. The record is from RNAcentral. Lineage: Eukaryota; Metazoa; Arthropoda; Insecta; Hemiptera; Aphididae.
AGAAAUUUUAUAUGGUAAAUACCUAUUUAUUGGACAUAAUUGAUUGUUAUAAAUUUCGGAUCUGACAAAAAAAAAAUACCAAAUAUUUGAUGGAAAUAAUUAAUUGUAAAUGAACACAUUUCGUACCUGGCGAAAAAUAAUGUAAAUAUUUGAUGAAAAUAAUUGUUACGAAUUUAGUAUAAAAAGAACGUUUCGCAGUGUAUCGACAUUGUAUAAUUGUUUUGCUUUAUAGUGUAUACGAUUAUUGUUGUAAACCAAAAAACCAAACAAAAACCAAAAUGAAAUCAUUCAGUUUCUGUCUGGCAGUAGCAGCCAUCUUGAUCAUCAGUUAUUGCGUAAGAACACGUUAUGUUAUUAAAUCUAUUUUAUAUUUUUCUCUAAACAAAAAUGUAAGGAACCUUUUUAAUUUUUUUUUUUUUUUUUUAUUAACAUAUCAAAAACAAAACAUUUAAUAUACAUCAAAAAUAAAUUUGUUAUAGAAUUGAUUGACUUACCUCCUGUAAGCUUAUGCAGCUUGUGUUGGAGAUAAGGAGCUAUGAUUACUAAUAAAUUUAUAUAUAUAUAUAAUAAAUAAGAACAUAGUGUAAAUAUAUUUAAAUUAAAAUUUGAAAUACAUAUUGAAACAACUUUAGAAAUAUAUAAACCAGCCUAUUUUCUAAAUAACAAUGCUAAAGGCAAAUGAAUAAAUAAAAACAAAUCAAAAUAUGUGCUACAGGUAUAGGUACAAUAAAUAAAAAAUAAUAAAACAAAAUUGGGUUAUAUUACUGUAAAUUCUUGUAUAAUUCAAAGAAUAAAUAUUUGUAUGUUAAAUCUUUAAUAUUUACAAUUUCACUACCAAGUGUUUUUUUUUUUUUUUUUUUUUUAAAGUCAUAGGGCUUAGAGUUGAAAGAAGUUGGGCCCUGAUAGUCUAAAAAAACGCUGGCUGAACGAAGUACUCACAUAUUUAACAGUCAAAUCAUAUUUUAUCGUUUCCCUUUUGUUGUUUACUUCCUUUUGAUCGUUAUUUAAAUUAAAUUUUUUAACCAAACACAUAAAUACAAUUUUUUUUUAUAUAAAAUCCUUUUAGGCAAUACACCAAAUUCAUCAUAGUUAUCGUUCGUAGAUCCUUGCAGAGUGAAUUUACUAACGUUUUCAAAGUACCGAAGUUGAAUAUUUUCUAAAAAUGUCGAUAAAAAAAAAUAAACGGUCAAGCUCACAUCUCUAGGCAUACAUAAUAUGUUCCGAAACAAACUACCGUUUAUCUAAUAUUAUUUAUAGAAUAAAAACUAAUUAUAAAUUAUAUUAUUGUAGCAAUUGAUAAGCGCAGAUGCACCAUUGGAUCAAAGUAACAGAGGACCUAUCAAUAUCCGUUGAAGUGGUAUGUCGGCACCAUAUGCCAAUAAAGGAUCAUGUGUCCAACCAUAGUUUUACUAUACUUAUCUGCAGAGGACACUGGUUACCAAAACUCACAACGUUUUAAAAAUAUAUGCACCCACAUCAUAUACUUAUAUUAUGCACACUUUUAAACUUUUAACGGUUUCACUGUUAAAAUACUAAUAAUUAAAAUGUAUUUUUAUCCGAAAUACACAACAAUUAUUAUAUUUUGACAUUGUACCUAUGUUAUAUGAUUAUGUAUUAUGAAUGACGAUUAAGAAAUUCAGAAAUAAAAUCACAUAUUAUAACCACUGAUUUUGUUGUAACUUUUAUUGAAUCCUUCCUAAUAUUUGUUACGAGAAACUAACACGGCGUCAAUUUUGUGUCUACUAGUGCUAAUCUAUUAUUUAAUAUAAAUUUAGUACAGACAUGCGAAUAAAUACCUAUCAAAUCGAUACAACGGACGAGGGAAAGUUUUAUUACCUACCGAGCGUACUUCCAGUUUUCCGUACAUAUUUAAAACUAUUUUCACUUUAUACUUAGUGUAAUAACAUUU